Myotis brandtii (Brandt's bat) is the source of this 87-nucleotide long non-coding RNA. RefSeq lists it as uncharacterized. The record is from RefSeq and is a predicted model, not a curated record. Lineage: Eukaryota; Metazoa; Chordata; Mammalia; Chiroptera; Vespertilionidae. The transcript is spliced from 3 exons.
GGCCGUCUAAAGAAUAGCAGAGAAUUCCAAACAGUAGCUUUACAAAAUAGGGUUAGCCUUCUCAGUCAGCAUACUAAUUUAUUUAUU